This 2899-nucleotide ribosomal RNA is filed under the name Klebsiella pneumoniae. RNAcentral describes it as "bacterial LSU rRNA". It matches the Rfam family "Bacterial large subunit ribosomal RNA". The record is from RNAcentral. Lineage: Bacteria; Pseudomonadati; Pseudomonadota; Gammaproteobacteria; Enterobacterales; Enterobacteriaceae.
UUAAGCGACUAAGCGUACACGGUGGAUGCCCUGGCAGUCAGAGGCGAUGAAGGACGUGCUAAUCUGCGAAAAGCGUCGGUAAGGUGAUAUGAACCGUUAUAACCGGCGAUGUCCGAAUGGGGAAACCCAGUGUGAUUCGUCACACUAUCGUUAACUGAAUACAUAGGUUAACGAGGCGAACCGGGGGAACUGAAACAUCUAAGUACCCCGAGGAAAAGAAAUCAACCGAGAUUCCCCCAGUAGCGGCGAGCGAACGGGGAGCAGCCCAGAGUCUGAAUCAGCUUGUGUGUUAGUGGAACGGUCUGGAAAGUCCGACGGUACAGGGUGAUAGUCCCGUACACCAAAAUGCACAGGCUGUGAACUCGAAGAGUAGGGCGGGACACGUGGUAUCCUGUCUGAAUAUGGGGGGACCAUCCUCCAAGGCUAAAUACUCCUGACUGACCGAUAGUGAACCAGUACCGUGAGGGAAAGGCGAAAAGAACCCCGGCGAGGGGAGUGAAAAAGAACCUGAAACCGUGUACGUACAAGCAGUGGGAGCACCUUCGGGUGUGACUGCGUACCUUUUGUAUAAUGGGUCAGCGACUUAUAUUCUGUAGCAAGGUUAACCGUAUAGGGGAGCCGCAGGGAAACCGAGUCUUAACUGGGCGUUAAGUUGCAGGGUAUAGACCCGAAACCCGGUGAUCUAGCCAUGGGCAGGUUGAAGGUUGGGUAACACUAACUGGAGGACCGAACCGACUAAUGUUGAAAAAUUAGCGGAUGACUUGUGGCUGGGGGUGAAAGGCCAAUCAAACCGGGAGAUAGCUGGUUCUCCCCGAAAGCUAUUUAGGUAGCGCCUCGUGAAUUCAUCUUCGGGGGUAGAGCACUGUUUCGGCUAGGGGGUCAUCCCGACUUACCAACCCGAUGCAAACUACGAAUACCGAAGAAUGUUAUCACGGGAGACACACGGCGGGUGCUAACGUCCGUCGUGAAGAGGGAAACAACCCAGACCGCCAGCUAAGGUCCCAAAGUCAUGGUUAAGUGGGAAACGAUGUGGGAAGGCACAGACAGCCAGGAUGUUGGCUUAGAAGCAGCCAUCAUUUAAAGAAAGCGUAAUAGCUCACUGGUCGAGUCGGCCUGCGCGGAAGAUGUAACGGGGCUAAACCAUGCACCGAAGCUGCGGCAGCGACACUAUGUGUUGUUGGGUAGGGGAGCGUUCUGUAAGCCUGCGAAGGUGUGCUGUGAGGCAUGCUGGAGGUAUCAGAAGUGCGAAUGCUGACAUAAGUAACGAUAAAGCGGGUGAAAAGCCCGCUCGCCGGAAGACCAAGGGUUCCUGUCCAACGUUAAUCGGGGCAGGGUGAGUCGACCCCUAAGGCGAGGCCGAAAGGCGUAGUCGAUGGGAAACAGGUUAAUAUUCCUGUACUUGGUGUUACUGCGAAGGGGGGACGGAGAAGGCUAUGUUAGCCGGGCGACGGUUGUCCCGGUUUAAGCAUGUAGGCUGGUUGUCCAGGCAAAUCCGGAUAAUCAAGGCUGAGGUGUGAUGACGAGGCACUACGGUGCUGAAGUAACAAAUGCCCUGCUUCCAGGAAAAGCCUCUAAGCAUCAGGUAACAUCAAAUCGUACCCCAAACCGACACAGGUGGUCAGGUAGAGAAUACCAAGGCGCUUGAGAGAACUCGGGUGAAGGAACUAGGCAAAAUGGUGCCGUAACUUCGGGAGAAGGCACGCUGGUGUGUAGGUGAAGUCCCUGCGGAUGGAGCUGAGACCAGUCGAAGAUACCAGCUGGCUGCAACUGUUUAUUAAAAACACAGCACUGUGCAAACACGAAAGUGGACGUAUACGGUGUGACGCCUGCCCGGUGCCGGAAGGUUAAUUGAUGGGGUUAUCCGUAAGGAGAAGCUCUUGAUCGAAGCCCCGGUAAACGGCGGCCGUAACUAUAACGGUCCUAAGGUAGCGAAAUUCCUUGUCGGGUAAGUUCCGACCUGCACGAAUGGCGUAAUGAUGGCCAGGCUGUCUCCACCCGAGACUCAGUGAAAUUGAACUCGCUGUGAAGAUGCAGUGUACCCGCGGCAAGACGGAAAGACCCCGUGAACCUUUACUAUAGCUUGACACUGAACAUUGAGCCUUGAUGUGUAGGAUAGGUGGGAGGCUUUGAAGCGUGGACGCCAGUCUGCGUGGAGCCAACCUUGAAAUACCACCCUUUAAUGUUUGAUGUUCUAACGUUGGCCCCUUACCGGGGUUGCGGACAGUGUCUGGUGGGUAGUUUGACUGGGGCGGUCUCCUCCCAAAGCGUAACGGAGGAGCACGAAGGUUAGCUAAUCCUGGUCGGACAUCAGGAGGUUAGUGCAAUGGCAUAAGCUAGCUUGACUGCGAGCGUGACGGCGCGAGCAGGUGCGAAAGCAGGUCAUAGUGAUCCGGUGGUUCUGAAUGGAAGGGCCAUCGCUCAACGGAUAAAAGGUACUCCGGGGAUAACAGGCUGAUACCGCCCAAGAGUUCAUAUCGACGGCGGUGUUUGGCACCUCGAUGUCGGCUCAUCACAUCCUGGGGCUGAAGUAGGUCCCAAGGGUAUGGCUGUUCGCCAUUUAAAGUGGUACGCGAGCUGGGUUUAGAACGUCGUGAGACAGUUCGGUCCCUAUCUGCCGUGGGCGCUGGAGAAUUGAGGGGGGCUGCUCCUAGUACGAGAGGACCGGAGUGGACGCAUCACUGGUGUUCGGGUUGUCAUGCCAAUGGCACUGCCCGGUAGCUAAAUGCGGAAGAGAUAAGUGCUGAAAGCAUCUAAGCACGAAACUUGCCCCGAGAUGAGUUCUCCCUGAGACUUUAAGUCUCCUGAAGGAACGUUGAAGACGACGACGUUGAUAGGCCGGGUGUGUAAGCGCAGCGAUGCGUUGAGCUAACCGGUACUAAUGAACCGUGAGGCUUAACCU